UUGGUUCCGUAUAAUUUUAAU
This 21-nucleotide non-coding RNA is filed under the name Arabidopsis thaliana (thale cress). The record is from RNAcentral. Lineage: Eukaryota; Viridiplantae; Streptophyta; Magnoliopsida; Brassicales; Brassicaceae.